AUUUUCACAGACCCUGCGACCGUCUCACACGAGCGUUUACCCAGAGCGGACCGGUCCCAGUCAUCGUCCCCGCCCCACAGCGCACCCGCGGCGCAGAGCGUCCAGGGAGACCCCCAGACUCCAAGCGCUCCCUCGAGCACUACCAGCCACCGCACGCGAGCACGCCCGGGCCCCGCCCACCCCGAAAGAUCGUGAGAUCCGGCCCUUGAGGCUGGGCUAUGCCUUUGCGCCUAGAGACUACGUUUCCCAGAAGAGACCGCGGCGACGGUCCGCUCGCGAGGCCGCCUCGGCGGUGCUUUGUGCGCCUGCGCCAUCUUCCGGCUCCAGGCGGCGGGUCCGCCGAUACCGAGGAGGAAACGCACCCCGGGCUGCGGAGAGCGCGGCCACGGUGGCACCUGAACCGGAGGAGGCGGCAGGUGAGGGGCUUUGGAGCUUGCCAGGCGCACCGGGGUCCCUGCGGGAGCGGGCGUCACGGCCGGGCGGAUCUCCGGCCUGGGAAGAACCGGAACGUCUCGCCCCAGCGCCGGUCUGCGGCUUUCCGGGCUCUGGACUACAUUUCCCAUCGGCCUCCGCGGCGCGCGCUCCGUGAGCGCCCCCUUCCCGCGUCCAGGCUCAUAGCCCCGGUCUAUGGACCCCUUAGCGCUGCCAUCUCAGGACUCUGCCCUUCCCCAAGAGAGGAACCAGGAGGAGGACCCAUCAGCCCAUGAAAUUCUAAAAGUCAUGUCCCUUGAGUCAGACUUGUUCAGGGAUGUGGCCAUAGUCUUCUCCCAAGAAGAAUGGGAACAGCUGACACCUGCUCAGAGGGAUUUGUACAGAGACGUGAUGUUGGAAACCUAUAGCAACCUGGUCUCACUGGGUAAGAC
Molecule: long non-coding RNA, 863 nt
Filed under: Ursus americanus (American black bear)
Lineage: Eukaryota; Metazoa; Chordata; Mammalia; Carnivora; Ursidae
Description: lncRNA (ENSUAMG00000010471.1)
Source: RNAcentral